Helianthus annuus (common sunflower) is the source of this 525-nucleotide long non-coding RNA. RefSeq lists it as uncharacterized. The transcript has 2 exons. NCBI's taxonomy places the organism in Eukaryota, Viridiplantae, Streptophyta, Magnoliopsida, Asterales, Asteraceae. The record is from RefSeq and is a predicted model, not a curated record.
UUCAAAUUAGCAUCUAUAUGUUUAUGCACAUCUAAGAGUAGCACGUGUACUCAGUUAUGAUUGUGUUUAUUAACAGUUAUGAUUGUGUUUAUCAACGAUUGAUUGGGUUAUUGGUUUGAUUUUGUGAAAUAGGGUUAUAUUGUGGUUCAGUUUUGUUCUCUUAAGAAGAUUCAACUUAGUCCUUAUCGGCGGCUUGCACAGUGCCAACACCAACAGAUUUGAACAGAUCAAUGCUGGCAAAGCUCCUAGAAGUAAACCCGUAUGACCCUUGGAAGACAAGAAAAAAUAGAAGAGCGAAAUAAAGUGUGAGAGUGAUUUGUAUAGGCUAUGAUGAUCGUUAGCUUGAGCAAACAUGGUAUUUACAUUGCUUUGUGACCACAGGUUUGGACCGAAGUUCUAUUCUAGGAAUUUUGUAGUCAACAUUUUGGAUCUGUGCAAGAACGUAUGAUAUCUUAUCCUUUUGUAUGUACCUUUGUUAAUUGUAUUUGUUUUGUCUCUUUAUUCUUAUUAUAGGAUGAUUUGUCA